GGAGAUGGCUGAGUGACUAACACCAACAUGUAUUGUCACCUGUUCUGUGACAGCCACGAAUAAACUAAUUCCCAAAAGGAAACUUCCACUGCAUGGCUCAGGUCACUGCAGCCUGUAGCAAAGAGUGUAUGGUGAGAACAGAGGACCUCCAUGGCCCUAGAGGAAUGUCAUCAGGGUUCUGUUGGAGGGUAACUGAUGACCUCCUCAAGAUAAGGGCCAGGUCAGCCAAGUGACAGGCACAGUGGCAAGAGGAAACAGCAAGGGUGAGGUGAACAUUAAAGCAAACCGCCACCAAGACGAGACGGUUUCAGGAGAUAUUCAUGGAACACAUUCAUGAAAAUAAGCAUCACCAUCCAAGAGGUUCGUGGGUAGUUAGUCCCUGCCCUCCAGGGAUAAUCAGAAGAGGAAACUUAAGGCAACAUGUAUACAAUUAUCUAAUCACAGAAAUUCUGUACAUAAUCAUGCUUAACAAAUAUUCAACUAUGUAAUCAGAAAUGGGAUACUUCUCUGCAAAACAUUCCAGAGGUGCUAUGUAGUUUUGCUGGAAUGUCCAAAAUAUGUUUAGU
This 566-nucleotide long non-coding RNA is filed under the name Bos taurus (domestic cattle). Its description in RNAcentral is "long non-coding RNA NONBTAT017522". Lineage: Eukaryota; Metazoa; Chordata; Mammalia; Artiodactyla; Bovidae. The record is from RNAcentral.